Molecule: transfer RNA, 77 nt
Filed under: Boseongicola sp.
Lineage: Bacteria; Pseudomonadati; Pseudomonadota; Alphaproteobacteria; Rhodobacterales; Paracoccaceae
Also listed under: 2 other names
Description: tRNA-Arg
Rfam family: tRNA
About the family: Transfer RNA (tRNA) molecules are approximately 80 nucleotides in length. Their secondary structure includes four short double-helical elements and three loops (D, anti-codon, and T loops). Further hydrogen bonds mediate the characteristic L-shaped molecular structure. tRNAs have two regions of fundamental functional importance: the anti-codon, which is responsible for specific mRNA codon recognition, and the 3' end, to which the tRNAs corresponding amino acid is attached (by aminoacyl-tRNA synthetases). tRNAs cope with the degeneracy of the genetic code in two manners: having more than one tRNA (with a specific anti-codon) for a particular amino acid; and 'wobble' base-pairing, i.e. permitting non-standard base-pairing at the 3rd anti-codon position.
Source: RNAcentral
GCGCUGGUAGCUCAGUUGGAUAGAGUACCUGACUACGAAUCAGGGGGUCGAGGGUUCGAAUCCUUCCCAGCGCGCCA